GAUGAACGCUGGCGGCGUGCCUAAUACAUGCAAGUAGAACGCUGAAGGAGGAGCUUGCUCUUCUGGAUGAGUUGCGAACGGGUGAGUAACGCGUAGGUAACCUGCCUGGUAGCGGGGGAUAACUAUUGGAAACGAUAGCUAAUACCGCAUGACAACAGUUAUUGCAUGAUAACUGUUUAAAAGGGGCAACUGCUCCACUACCAGAUGGACCUGCGUUGUAUUAGCUAGUUGGUGAGGUAACGGCUCACCAAGGCGACGAUACAUAGCCGACCUGAGAGGGGGAGCGGCCACACUGGGACUGAGACACGGCCCAGACUCCUACGGGAGGCAGCAGUAGGGAAUCUUCGGCAAUGGACGGAAGGCUGACCGAGCAACGCCGCGUGAGUGAAGAAGGUUUUCGGAUCGUAAAGCUCUGUUGUAAGAGAAGAACGAGUGUGAGAGUGGAAAGUUCACACUGUGACGGUAUCUUACCAGAAAGGGACGGCUAACUACGUG
RNAcentral lists this ribosomal RNA (495 nucleotides) under uncultured bacterium. RNAcentral's name for it is "partial 16S ribosomal RNA". It matches the Rfam family "Bacterial small subunit ribosomal RNA", at positions 28 to 507 of the family's 1533-position model. The record is from RNAcentral.